UACACCAUUGGACCCUAACCUUUCUUUUUUGCACUCUAGUUCCUAACCUCUUGAUUUCAUUACAAUUAAAUUCCAUCCGUUCGACCCUAACAUUUCUUUUUUGCACUCUAGUUCCUAACCUCUUGAUUUCAUUACAAUUAAAUUCCAGCCAUCAGAACGGAUGCUCAAAUUGACAAAAAAUGCCGCGUUAGCACCGUGUCAGCACUACAGAAACGCUGUGUCAGCGCCGGCUAAUUAUACAAUUUAAAUUUAAAAUUUAAAUUAUAUUUUGAAUUAAAUUAUAAAUUCAAAUCAAAAUUUUUAUUUAAAUUUAGAUUUUAAAUUCAAAUUUUGAUUUUGUAUUUAAUUUUAG
Molecule: long non-coding RNA, 352 nt
Filed under: Ananas comosus (pineapple)
Lineage: Eukaryota; Viridiplantae; Streptophyta; Magnoliopsida; Poales; Bromeliaceae
Description: long non-coding RNA (ACOM_LNC020035)
Source: RNAcentral